Molecule: long non-coding RNA, 719 nt
Filed under: Lepisosteus oculatus (spotted gar)
Lineage: Eukaryota; Metazoa; Chordata; Actinopteri; Semionotiformes; Lepisosteidae
Description: lncRNA (ENSLOCG00000022701.1)
Source: RNAcentral
UCCUGUUCUCUGCUGAUCCCAGAGCAGCAGUAUACUGUAUAGAAUAUUUGUGUCCCUGUGACUGAAUUCCUGUCCCUGAAAUAUUCCUCAGGCAGCUCUGGUGCAGCUCCGCCCGUGACCCACCACUGCUGCCCAGAGUGUCUUGUUUCCCUGCAGUGUCUCAAACCGGCGCUGACUGGGCCCUGAGCUACAGUUUUCAUACAAGACGGUGCGAGUCCUGUCCCCCUGACCCGCCCGGCGCCACGGCCCAGCUCCAUGGGCUCGGGCCUUGCUGCCGGUGUCUCUGUGAGCUCGUCUCCGGGCGGGCAGCCGUGAGCGGGGCUGCUGCAGGGGCGGAACCGGAGCCGAGUCCUGGACCAGCGCCAGCUCUCCUGAGCGCGCUUGGCCGGCACGCGGGUCCCUGUGCGUCUGCUCCAUCCGGGAUGUUCCAUCCCAGAAACCUCGGAGUUUCCUCGGCGGGCGAGUGGGCUGCGUGGGUCUGUGGUCUGGUCUCGUCGCGGAGCAGAGCCCUGCGGCCGGCACGGGGGGGCCAGUGUCGACUCGCCUGUACUUCCACCCUGUGCGUCGCGGACGGUGUCGCUGUUGCUCCUGUUGCCCGCAGGGGGCGCUGGCGGGAUGGACAGGCUGCAGGCUGGGGAGGAGCCGGGGCCCCUGUCUGACCCAGAGGACGAGGGGUAAGGGAGCCCCUUUCCUAAACCUGAUCAAGCCCUUUCUAGACC